UGCACAUAUGGGCCUCUGUUUAUGACAGUGCCCUUACUCUAUCAGCAAUGAGUCUAUCAGCUGUUCCCAUUCAGAGGUGUCACUUGAGGCAGAGGGUGAUUCUUCCUGACACCAGUCAGGUUCAAUAGUUGGUUGGCUUGAGUCGUCUUCUGGUGGCUUUGCCAAAUCCGGUAUUUCAGUAGGCGAGGUCCUCUCUGUCUCUACCCUUGGUGGGUAAGACUGGGGAAGAGGACCAGGAGGUGACUGUGAUUGGCCUCCAACAUAGUCUCCCUGUUGGUUGUACUGGUCUCCAUUGGCUACAGAAUACGCAGGUCAGCCACCAGGGGGAGACUCAUCGAGGCCUGGUGACGGAUGGAGUAUACAUCACCAGGCGAUGGCUCCAUCUGCUGGACGUGCCAGGUCUCGACGGCUCUCCGGAAAGGACUAAUUGGGUCUGAUUGGGGAAUGGUCCGUAAUAAAGGGCUGAUUGCUCACCAGCUUUACAACUCCCAUAAAGCUGCCAGAAGGGCAGCACACAGCGGAGAGACUGGGGGAGGAAAGGACUCCUGUAUAGUUGGGGACAGUACCAGAGGUAACAGGAGGGAGUUCAGUUUUUGAUCCCCACAGGAUACAGCAAGACCCGGAGCCCAGAAGAUGGUAUCCCAGAGAGGGUCUCUUGGGGGAGACCUAUUCUUUUCAUGUGGACUAUUAUUUUAAUAAACACCUUUGAAACUGAGCUAAUCCUACUCUGUCCAUGUCUGAUCUGUGUAAACGUUUUGACCCAACCCCCUGGUCUGCCACAAGUGGGGUAGAAUGAAGGCACUCUGAUAAUGUGGUCAGAUCAGUAUUGACAUUUACGCAGCAUCAACAUGGACGAGUUGAUAACUCAGUUCAUCCGGGCCCAACAAGCCCAACAGGCGGUUCAGGAACAAAUGCUGGAGGAACAGCGGCUACAAAACGUCCGCCUCAUUGAGGAAAUCAGGAAGCUACAAGGAGGAGCGUCUACUGUAUCACAUCCAAACAAGUUUAUAAUCAAGCUAACAGAAGAUGACGACAUCGAAACCUACCUCUGUACGUUUGAAUGGACAGCAAUACAGGCAGGAUGGCCAAGGCAGAAGUGGGCCAGUCUGCUGGCCCGAGCCUCUCUGGGAAUGCCCAAAAGUCGUAUUGGGACCUGAACUAUGAACAGGCUACGACGGACUCAAACGGGAGAUACUCAGCCGCUACGGGUACAGCCUGGCCCAUCGGGCUCAACUAUGCCAUGACUGGAGGCUCAUAGCCGACGCUUCCCCCUCAGCCCAGAUGAGAGACCUACUGUGCAUCACCAGGGGAUGGCUCCUAACUGACGUAUCCACCCUCUCCAUCCUAGACAAAGUAGUCCUGGAUCGCUUCCUACGGGCAUUACCCCACGACAUAAAAAGGGCAGCGAGUCUAUGUGCGCACCAGACAUUUGGAGGGCCUCCUGGAAGCAGUGGAGAUGCAUCAGAACAUUCAGGCCCUGCUGAGUGGGAGCCGGGCCGAGUCAGCAAACGGUUCGAGGAGUCGGAAGGACAGCCCCACUGCUGUGUACCUCGAACCGACAGUCGGCAGGGCCAAAGGACCGCAAACCCGUGGAGAGACGGCUGGGGUAGGGCUGACCCGCCACCGACAACCCCAGGUAGAUGUAGACCAAAGGAGGUGUUUUGAGUGUGGUGCCCGGGGGCACAUUGCCUGGAAUUGCCCGACUCGAGAGGAGUCGAUGCCAUCAGCAAGCUUCGGAGGCGAGGUGGGUCAAGCAGUAAACUACGUCACCUCCUGUUGGGCACAUCACGAAUCAACUGCACCCAUGGUCACGGACAAGGUUGACGGACACGACACGGAAGCUCUAUUAGACUCCGGAAGUAUGGUUACCCUCGUAAUCACGAGCUUGCUGAACCAGAAUACCAAACGUGGUAGGGAGAUGUCCAUUUCCUGUGUUCACAGGGAUACAAAGCGGUAUCCAACCGUAUGGGCCAAAAUCGUGAUGCCACAAGGGAACUGCCAGAUGAUGGUAGGUGCAGUACCUGAGUUGCCGGCACCUCUCCUAGUGGGACGAGAUUGUCCGCUGUUCACGGC
Molecule: long non-coding RNA, 2073 nt
Organism: Oncorhynchus masou masou (cherry salmon)
Lineage: Eukaryota; Metazoa; Chordata; Actinopteri; Salmoniformes; Salmonidae
Exons: 3
Source: RefSeq, a predicted model, not a curated record